RNAcentral lists this ribosomal RNA (449 nucleotides) under uncultured bacterium. Its description in RNAcentral is "partial 16S ribosomal RNA". It matches the Rfam family "Bacterial small subunit ribosomal RNA", at positions 29 to 523 of the family's 1533-position model. The record is from RNAcentral.
AGCGAACGCUGGCGGCAGGCCUAACACAUGCAAGUCGAACGGAUCCUUCGGGAUUAGUGGCGGACGGGUGAGUAACACGUGGGAACGUGCCCUUUGGUUCGGAACAACUCAGGGAAACUUGAGCUAAUACCGGAUGUGCCCUUCGGGGGGAAGAUUUAUCGCCAUUGGAGCGGCCCGCGUCUGAUUAGCUAGUUGGUGGGGUAAAGGCCCACCAAGGCGACGAUCAGUAGCUGGUCUGAGAGGAUGAUCAGCCACAUUGGGACUGAGACACGGCCCAAACUCCUACGGGAGGCAGCAGUGGGGAAUCUUGCGCAAUGGGCGAAAGCCUGACGCAGCCAUGCCGCGUGAAUGAUGAAGGUCCUAGGAUUGUAAAAUUCUUUCACCGGGGACGAUAAUGACGGUACCCGGAGAAGAAGCCCCGGCUAACUUCGUGCCAGCCGCCGCAGUAA